This 252-nucleotide ribosomal RNA is filed under the name uncultured prokaryote. Its description in RNAcentral is "partial 16S rRNA". It matches the Rfam family "Archaeal small subunit ribosomal RNA", at positions 475 to 726 of the family's 1478-position model. The record is from RNAcentral.
GCCGGCAGCUCAAGUGGUGGCCAUUUUUAUUGGGCCUAAAGCGUUCGUAGCCGGUUUGAUAAGUAGCUGGUGAAAUAAGGGAGAGGAAAUGAGGGACUUGCUGGAGAUACUAUUAGACUUGAGGUCGGGAGAGGUUAGGGGUACUCCCAGGGUAGGGGUGAAAUCCUAUAAUCCUGGGAGGACCACCUGUGGCGAAGGCGCCUAACUGGAACGAACCUGACGGUGAGUAACGAAAGCCAGGGGCGCGAACCG